CAAUUUUGUAUUUCGGCCUUCAUUCAGAAGGGAAUGCAUAAAUUAAAUAAAGCAUGUUCUCUCAUAUUACAGACAGGUCUAAUAAUCAAGAACUCCACAUGUAUCAAAAGAAUCUUCAGAAACUAGGCAAAACAGGAGAAAAUAUGUCUUAAGUCCCUUAUAUCUACACGCCCACCCACCAGGAUAUUCAUUUCCUCUAGAACUUAUGGAGAAGANNNNNNNNNNNNGAAUCGUGCCUUCUCACCAGAUGUUUUUCAUCUUCGAUGAAGAAUGUAGCUUGCUUAUGCAUUUUCUAAAAUGAUCUUUUCUACGUUUAACCAAAAUCUAACAUUCCAUGUAAUGUGAUUUAAUGGCUUAAUCACAAUCCAACCCACAAACUUCUAACACAAUACCACCUCUUGACACAAAUGGAUUGAUUCGUACCCACACCAGUGAGAAAACUGAAGCUACAAGUAUUGACCAUACAACAAUUAUGGUGGGAAGCCUGUCUUGUUUGGCCAUCAAACC
RNAcentral lists this unclassified non-coding RNA (507 nucleotides) under Hevea brasiliensis (rubber tree). Lineage: Eukaryota; Viridiplantae; Streptophyta; Magnoliopsida; Malpighiales; Euphorbiaceae. The record is from RNAcentral.